RNAcentral lists this ribosomal RNA (1333 nucleotides) under Niebla effusa. RNAcentral describes it as "partial large subunit ribosomal RNA". It matches the Rfam family "Eukaryotic large subunit ribosomal RNA", at positions 121 to 1433 of the family's 3401-position model. The record is from RNAcentral. Lineage: Eukaryota; Fungi; Ascomycota; Lecanoromycetes; Lecanorales; Ramalinaceae.
UCUGGCUCCGUUCCGGGGUCCGAGUUGUAAUUUGUAGAGGAUGCUUCGGGCGCGGCACCGGUCUAAGUCCCUUGGAACAGGGCGUCAUAGAGGGUGAGGAUCCCGUAUGUGACCGGUGACCAAGUCCAGGUGAAGCUCCUUCGACGAGUCGAGUUGUUUGGGAAUGCAGCUCAAAAUGGGUGGUAAAUUUCAUCUAAAGCUAAAUACCGGCCAGAGACCGAUAGCGCACAAGUAGAGUGAUCGAAAGAUGAAAAGCACUUUGGAAAGAGAGUCAAAAAGUACGUGAAAUUGUUGAAAGGGAAGCGCUUGUAACCAGACCCUGCCGUCGGGUGCUCAGCGGGCACUUGUGCCCGCCUAUUCACCCGCGAUCAGGCCAGCAUCGGUUUUGGCGGCCGGAUAAAGACUCGAGGAAUGUAGCUUCGCUUCGGGGAAGUGUUAUAGCCUCGGGUGCAAUACGGCCAGCCGGGACCGAGGACCGCGCUUCGGCUAGGAUGCUGGCGUAAUGGUUGCAAGCGACCCGUCUUGAAACACGGACCAAGGAGUCUAACAUCUAUGCGAGUGUUUGGGUGUCAAACCCAUGCGCGGAAUGAAAGUGAACGGAGGUGGGAACCCUCAAGGGCGCACCAUCGACCGAUCCGGAAGUUUACGGAUGGAUUUGAGUAUGAGCAUAGCUGUUGGGACCCGAAAGAUGGUGAACUAUGCCUGAAUAGGGUGAAGCCAGAGGAAACUCUGGUGGAGGCUCGCAGCGGUUCUGACGUGCAAAUCGAUCGUCAAAUUUGGGUAUAGGGGCGAAAGACUAAUCGAACCAUCUAGUAGCUGGUUCCUGCCGAAGUUUCGUAAGUCCUUCCCGAGGAGCCCCCUUAAUAUAAGCCUAUACUAACAAUUUCAAUAGCCUCAGGAUAGCAGUAACGUUUUCAGUUUUAUGAGGUAAAGCGAAUGAUUAGAAGCCUUGGGGAUGAAACAUCCUUAACUUAUUCUCAAACUUUAAAUAUGUAAGAAGUCCUUGUUACUUAGUUGAACGUGGACAUUUGAAUGCACCGUUACUAGUGGGCCAUUUUUGGUAAGCAGAACUGGCGAUGCGGGAUGAACCGAACGUGGGGUUAAGGUGCCGGAAUGUACGCUCAUCAGACACCAGGGGGAAGACUUGUGGUGUCGGGCUGGGGGGAGACCCCCCCAGCGUCAGUCUGCUCAAGGCGAGGUCUUUGACCUGUUAGGGGUCGGUGGUCGCUCCGCGAUGGCCUACCCUCCGCUGUCCCCCGCCGCGGGGGCAGCUCACAGAUCAAGCAAAGGCCGGCGGCAGGAUGCCGUUGGAGAUAUGAUCGGCCCCCGGAGG